GGCUCUAUCUUCUAAUGGUUAGGAAUCUUGGUUCUCAACCAAGCAACCGGGGUUCGACUCCCCGUAGAGCCG
Molecule: transfer RNA, 72 nt
Filed under: bacterium
Lineage: Bacteria
Also listed under: 1 other name
Description: tRNA-Glu
Rfam family: tRNA
About the family: Transfer RNA (tRNA) molecules are approximately 80 nucleotides in length. Their secondary structure includes four short double-helical elements and three loops (D, anti-codon, and T loops).
Source: RNAcentral